RNAcentral lists this ribosomal RNA (243 nucleotides) under uncultured bacterium. RNAcentral describes it as "partial 16S ribosomal RNA". It matches the Rfam family "Bacterial small subunit ribosomal RNA", at positions 534 to 776 of the family's 1533-position model. The record is from RNAcentral.
UCAAGCGUUGUUCGGAAUUACUGGUCGUAAAGGGUGCGCAGGCCGCGCGGGCAGUCAGAUGUGUAAUCCAGGGGCUCAACCCCUGAACUGCGCUUGAUACUUCCGCGCUCGAGCUUUGGAGAGGAGUCUGGAAUUCUCGGUGUAGCAGUGAAAUGCGUGGAUAUCGAGAAGAACACUUAGGGCGUAGGCAAGACUCUGGACAAAUGCUGACGCUCAUGCACGAAGGCUAGGGUAGCGAACGAG